CAGUAGCCGCGGUAAUACGUAGGUGGCAAGCGUUGUCCGGAAUUAUUGGGCGUAAAGGGCUCGCAGGCGGUUUCUUAAGUCUGAUGUGAAAGCCCCCGGCUCAACCGGGGAGGGUCAUUGGAAACUGGGAAACUUGAGUGCAGAAGAGGAGAGUGGAAUUCCACGUGUAGCGGUGAAAUGCGUAGAGAUGUGGAGGAACACCAGUGGCGAAGGCGACUCUCUGGUCUGUAACUGACGCUGAGGAGCGAAAGCGUGGGGAGCGAACAGGAUUAGAGACCCCGGUAGUCCCUGUCUCUUAUAC
RNAcentral lists this ribosomal RNA (301 nucleotides) under uncultured bacterium. Its description in RNAcentral is "partial 16S ribosomal RNA". It matches the Rfam family "Bacterial small subunit ribosomal RNA", at positions 509 to 807 of the family's 1533-position model. The record is from RNAcentral.